UACGUAGGGUGCAAGCGUUGUCCGGAAUUCUUGGGCGUAAAGAGCUCGUAGGCGGUUUGUUGCGUCGGCUGUGAAAUCCCGAGGCUCAACCUCGGGUCUGCAGUCGAUACGAGCAAACUAGAGUGUUGCAGGGGAGACUGGAAUUCCUGGUGUAGCGGUGAAAUGCGCAGAUAUCAGGAGGAACACCGGUGGCGAAGGCGGGGCUCUGGGCAACAACUGACGCUGAGGAGCGAAAGCGUGGGGAGCGAACAGG
RNAcentral lists this ribosomal RNA (253 nucleotides) under uncultured bacterium. RNAcentral describes it as "partial 16S ribosomal RNA". It matches the Rfam family "Bacterial small subunit ribosomal RNA", at positions 524 to 776 of the family's 1533-position model. The record is from RNAcentral.